This is a non-coding RNA of Phellopilus nigrolimitatus, 104 nucleotides long. Lineage: Eukaryota; Fungi; Basidiomycota; Agaricomycetes; Hymenochaetales; Hymenochaetaceae. The record is from the annotation of a GenBank genome assembly.
GCUUCAAUAACUCAGUUGGUUAGAGUGCCAGUCUCAUACUUAGUUAUGAUCUUCAGACUCGAAGAGUGAUCUGGAAGCCGCAAGUUCGAGUCUUGCUUGGAGCA